AGGUGUGUGUUUGUAACACUAGUUUACAGGUGUGUGUUUGUAACAGUAGUUUCCAGGUGUGUGUUUGUAACAGUAGUUUCCAGGUGUGUGUUUGUAACAGUAGUUUACAGGUGUGUGUUUGUAACAGUAAUUUACAGGUGUGUGUUUGUAACAGUAAUUUACAGGUGUGUGUUUGUAACAGUAGUUUCCAGGUGUGUGUUUGUAACAGGUGUGUGUUUGUAACAGUAGUUUAAAGGUGUGUGUUUGUAACAGUAGUUUACAGGUGUGUGUUUGUAACAGUAGUUUACAGGUGUGUGUUUGUAACAGUAGUUUACAGGUGCGUGUUUGUAACAGUAGUUUACAGGUGUGUGUUUGUAACAGUAGUUUCCAGGUGUGUGUUUGUAACAGUAGUUUACAGGUAUGUGUUUGUAACAGUAGUUUACAGGUGUGUGUUUGUAACAGUAGUUAACAGGUGUGUGUUUGUAACAGUAGUUAACAGGUGUGUGUUUGUAACAGGUGUGUGUUUGUAACAGUAGUUUACAGGUGUGUGUUUGUAACAGCAGUUUACAGGUGUGUGUUUGUAACAGUAGUUUACAGGUGUGUGUUUGUAACAGGUGUGUGUUUGUAACAGUAGUUUCCAGGUGUGUGUUUCUAACAGUAGUUUCCAGGUGUGUGUUUGUAACAAUAGAUUACAGGUGUGUGUUAGUAACAGUUGUUUACAGGUGUGUGUUUGUAACAGUAGUUUACAGGUGUGUGUUUGUAACAGGUGUGUGUUUGUAACAGCAGUUUACAGGUGUGUGUUUGUAACAGUAGAUUACAGGUGUGUUUUUGUAACAGUAGAUUACAGGUGUGUGUUUGUAACAGUAGAUUACAGGUGUAUGUUUGUAACAGGUGUGUGUUUGUAACAGUAGUUUAAAGGUGUGUGUUUGUAACAGCAGUUUACAGGUGUGUGUUUGUAACAGUAGUUUACAGGUGUGUGUUUGUAACAGUAGUUUACAGGUGUGUGUUUGUAACAGUAGUUUACAGGUGUGUGUUUGUAACAGUAGUUUCCAGGUGUGUGUUUGUAACAGCAGUUUACAGGUGUGUGUUUGUAACAGUAGUUUACAGGUGUGUGUUUGUAACAGUAGUUUACAGGUGUGUGUUUGUAACAGUAGUUAACAGGUGUGUGUUUGUAACAGUAGUUAACAGGUGUGUGUUUGUAACAGGUGUGUGUUUGUAACAGUAGUUUACAGGUGUGUGUUUGUAACAGCAGUUUACAGGUGUGUGUUUGUAACAGUAGUUUACAGGUGUGUGUUUGUAACAGGUGUGUGUUUGUAACAGUAGUUUCCAGGUGUGUGUUUCUAACAGUAGUUUCCAGGUGUGUGUUUGUAACAAUAGAUUACAGGUGUGUGUUAGUAACAGUUGUUUACAGGUGUGUGUUUGUAACAGUAGUUUACAGGUGUGUGUUUGUAACAGGUGUGUGUUUGUAACAGCAGUUUACAGGUGUGUGUUUGUAACAGUAGAUUACAGGUGUGUUUUUGUAACAGUAGAUUACAGGUGUGUGUUUGUAACAGUAGAUUACAGGUGUAUGUUUGUAACAGGUGUGUGUUUGUAACAGUAGUUUAAAGGUGUGUGUUUGUAACAGCAGUUUACAGGUGUGUGUUUG
Molecule: long non-coding RNA, 1624 nt
Organism: Oncorhynchus keta (chum salmon)
Lineage: Eukaryota; Metazoa; Chordata; Actinopteri; Salmoniformes; Salmonidae
Exons: 3
Source: RefSeq, a predicted model, not a curated record